GCAGAGUAGGACCGCACGUGUGAAAUAGUGCCGGAAAAACGGGGAGUUGUUUUCCGGACGAAAGGGCAAAGUGCCUUGCAGUGUGCGCUCCGCAUCCCGCUGC
This 103-nucleotide non-coding RNA is filed under the name uncultured Dysosmobacter sp. RNAcentral's name for it is "THF riboswitch". It matches the Rfam family "THF (Tetrahydrofolate) riboswitch aptamer". From Rfam's summary of the family: THF riboswitch presents a pseudoknot that joins P1-P2 and the loop of P3 and two THF binding. Lineage: Bacteria; Bacillati; Bacillota; Clostridia; Eubacteriales; Oscillospiraceae. The record is from RNAcentral.